RNAcentral lists this ribosomal RNA (268 nucleotides) under uncultured bacterium. Its description in RNAcentral is "partial 16S ribosomal RNA". It matches the Rfam family "Bacterial small subunit ribosomal RNA", at positions 524 to 790 of the family's 1533-position model. The record is from RNAcentral.
UACGUAGGGCGCAAGCGUUGUCCGGAAUUAUUGGGCGUAAAGAGCUCGUAGGCGGCCUGUUGCGUCCGCUGUGAAAACCCGGGGCUUAACCCCGGGCUUGCAGUGGAUACGGGCAGGCUGGAGGCAGGCAGGGGAGAACGGAAUUCCCGGUGUGAGCGGUGAAAUGCGCAGAUAUCGGGAGGAACACCGGUGGCGAAGGCGGUUCUCUGGGCCUGUACUGACGCUGAGGAGCGAAAGCGUGGGGAGCGAACAGGAUUAGAUACCCCGA